UACGGAGGGUGCAAGCAUUGAUCGGAAUUACUGGGCGUAAAGCGCGCGCAGGCGGCUAUGCAAGGCAGAUGUGAAAGCCCCGGGCUCAACCUGGGAAUUGCAUUUGAGACUGCUCUGCUCGGGUGCGGAAGAGGGAAGCGGAAUUUCCGGUGUAGCGGUGAAAUGCGUAGAUAUCGGAAGGAACACCAGUGGCGAAAGCGGCUUCCUGGUCCGACACCGACGUUCAGGCACGAAAGCGUGGGGAGCAAACAGG
RNAcentral lists this ribosomal RNA (253 nucleotides) under uncultured bacterium. RNAcentral describes it as "partial 16S ribosomal RNA". It matches the Rfam family "Bacterial small subunit ribosomal RNA", at positions 524 to 776 of the family's 1533-position model. The record is from RNAcentral.